This 1543-nucleotide ribosomal RNA is filed under the name fermentation metagenome. RNAcentral describes it as "bacterial LSU rRNA". It matches the Rfam family "Bacterial large subunit ribosomal RNA", at positions 1370 to 2925 of the family's 2925-position model. The record is from RNAcentral.
CCGCCCAGGGUUAGUCGGGACCUAAGGCGAGGCCGAGAGGCGUAGUCGAUGGACAGCUGGUUGAUAUUCCAGCACCCGUGUAUGUGUGAUGUAGUGACAGAGGUGGCUAGCGGAUCCGGUUAUUGGAUUCUGGUCACGGCGAGGUAGUGGACGAGGAGGCAAAUCCCUUCGUCAUUAACAUGAAGACGCCAGGCGAGCGAAUGGGGCAACCCUAGUAGUGAAGUCCGUGAUGCCAACUCUCAAGAAAAGCUGCUAGCUUAAGCAUACAUGGCCCGUACCGAGAACGGACACACGUGGUCAAGGAGAGUAUCCUAUGGUGAGCGAGAUAACUGUUGUUAAGGAACUCUGCAAAAUUACUUCGUAAGUUAGCAAGAAGAAGUGCUCGUGUAACAGCGAGCCGCAGUGAAGAGGCCCAAGUAACUGUUUACCAAAAACACAGCUCUAUGCUAAGCCGUAAGGCGAUGUAUAUGGGGUGACGCCUGCCCAGUGCUGGAAGGUUAAAGGGAGAGGUCAGCGCAAGCGAAGCUUUGAACUGAAGCCCCAGUGAACGGCGGCCGUAACUAUAACGGUCCUAAGGUAGCGAAAUUCCUUGUCAGGUAAGUUCUGACCCGCACGAAUGGUGUAAUAAUUUGGGCGCUGUCUCGACAGCAGACUCGGUGAAAUCUUAAUGCCGGUAAAGAUGCCGGCUACCCGCGACUAGACGGAAAGACCCCAUGGAGCUUUACUAUAACUUAAUAUUGAACUGUUGUACUUCAUGCACAGGAUAGGUGGGAGGCGUCGAAACUCGGAUCGUGGUCUGAGCGGAGCCAUCCUUGGAAUACCACUCUUGAAAUACGGCAGUUCUAACCUGCGGCCAUCACUGGUCGGGGGACAUUGUUAGGCGGGUAGUUUGACUGGGGCGGUCGCCUCCCAAAAAGUAACGGAGGCGCCCCAAGGUACCCUCAGUAUGGUUGGAAAUCAUACAUUGAGUGCAAUGGCAUAAGGGUGCUUAACUGCGAGACCAACAAGUCGAGCAGAGACGAAAGUCGGGCAUAGUGAUCCGGCGGUCCUGAGUGGAAAGGCCGUCGCUCAACGGAUAAAAGCUACCCUGGGGAUAACAGGCUAAUCGCUUCCAAGAGUUCACAUCGACGAGGCGGUUUGGCACCUCGAUGUCGGCUCAUCACAUCCUGGAGGGGCAGUACCUUCCAAGGGUUUGGCUGUUCGCCAAUUAAAGUGGUACGCGAGCUGGGUUCAAAACGUCGUGAGACAGUUUGGUCCCUAUCUGUCGUGGGCGUAGGAAGUUUGAAAGGAUCUGUUCCUAGUACGAGAGGACCGGAAUGGACAGAGCAAUGGUCCACCAGUUGUCACGCCAGUGGCACAGCUGGGUAGCUACCUCUGGACUGGAUAAACGCUGAAAGCAUCUAAGCGUGAAGCCAACCUUAAGAUGAGACUUCCCAUUCGCAAGAAGUAAGACCCCCGGAAAGCGACCGGGUUGAUAGGCCAGAAAUGUAAGUGCAGCGAUGCAUUCAGUUGACUGGUACUAAUAGGUCGAGGACUUAAUAAU